Molecule: ribosomal RNA, 410 nt
Filed under: uncultured bacterium
Lineage: Bacteria
Description: bacterial SSU rRNA
Rfam family: Bacterial small subunit ribosomal RNA
Source: RNAcentral
AGCGAACGCUGGCGGCAGGCCUAACACAUGCAAGUCGAGCGCCCAGCAAUGGGAGCGGCAGACGGGAUAGUAACACGUGGGAACGUACCUUUCAGUUCGGAACAACCCAGGGAAACUUGGGCUAAUACCGAAUACGUCCGUAAGGAGAAAGAUUUAUCGCUGAAAGAUCGGCCCGCGUCUGAUUAGCUAGUUGGUGAGGUAAUGGCUCACCAAGGCGACGAUCAGUAGCUGGUCUGAGAGGAUGAUCAGCAUCACUGGGACUGAGACACGGCCCAAACUCCUACGGGAGGCAGCAGUGGGGAAUAUUGGACAAUGGGCGCAAGCCUGAUCCAGCCAUGCCGCGUGAGUGAUGAAGGCCCUAGGGUUGUAAAGCUCUUUUACCCGGGAAGAUAAUGACUGUACCGGGAGAA